GAUGAACGCUGGCGGCGUGCCUAAUACAUGCAAGUCGAGCGAACAGACGAUGAGCUUGCUCCUCUGACGUUAGCUGCGGACGGGUGAGUAACACGUGGAUAACCUACCUAUAAGACUGGGAUAACUUCGGGAAACCGGAGCUAAUACCGGAUAAUAUAUUGAACCGCAUGGUUCAAUAGUGAAAGACGGUUUUGCUGUCACUUAUAGAUGGAUCCGCGCCGCAUUAGCUAGUUGGUAAGGUAACGGCUUACCAAGGCAACGAUGCGUAGCCGACCUGAGAGGGUGAUCGGCCACACUGGAACUGAGACACGGUCCAGACUCCUACGGGAGGCAGCAGUAGGGAAUCUUCCGCAAUGGGCGAAAGCUUGACGGAGCAACGCCGCGUGAGUGAUGAAGGUCUUCGGAUCGUAAAACUCUGUUAUUAGGGAAGAACAAAUGUGUAAGUAACUAUGCACAUCUUGACGGUACCUAAUCAGAAAGCCACGGCUAACUACGUG
Molecule: ribosomal RNA, 497 nt
Filed under: uncultured bacterium
Lineage: Bacteria
Description: partial 16S ribosomal RNA
Rfam family: Bacterial small subunit ribosomal RNA
Source: RNAcentral